CUACUUAGUAAUAGCAUGUUGAAUUCACUAGUCCUCAAUGAAUCACUGAAGCUAAGCAACGUUGUGCGUGGUUGGUAUCCGAAUGGGUGGCCAUUUUGGCGAUCGCGUGUUGCUUUUG
This 118-nucleotide ribosomal RNA is filed under the name Diaphorina citri (Asian citrus psyllid). The record is from RNAcentral. Lineage: Eukaryota; Metazoa; Arthropoda; Insecta; Hemiptera; Psyllidae.